This 460-nucleotide ribosomal RNA is filed under the name uncultured bacterium. RNAcentral describes it as "partial 16S ribosomal RNA". It matches the Rfam family "Bacterial small subunit ribosomal RNA", at positions 338 to 795 of the family's 1533-position model. The record is from RNAcentral.
CCUACGGGAGGCAGCAGUGAGGAAUAUUGGUCAAUGGGCGCAAGUCUGAACCAGCCAAGCAGCGUGAAGGAUGACUGCCCUACGGGUUGUAAACUUCUUUUAUAAAGGAAUAAAGUGAGGCACGUGUGCCUUUUUGUAAGUACUUUAUGAAUAAGGAUCGGCUAACUCCGUGCCAGCAGCCGCGGUAAUACGGAGGAUCCGAGCGUUAUCCGGAUUUAUUGGGUUUAAAGGGAGCGUAGAUGGGUUGUUAAGUCAGUUGUGAAAUUUUGCGGCUCAACCGUAAAAUUGCAAUUGAUACUGGCAGUCGUGAGGACAGAUGAGGUAGGCGGAAUGCGUGGUGUAGCGGUGAAAUGCUUAGAGAUCACGAAGAACACCGAUUGCGAAGGCAGCAUACCGGCGUUCAACUGACGCUCAUGCACGAAAGUGUGGGGAGCGAACAGGAUUAGAUACCCUAGUAGUC